This 2239-nucleotide ribosomal RNA is filed under the name Escherichia coli. Its description in RNAcentral is "partial 23S ribosomal RNA". It matches the Rfam family "Bacterial large subunit ribosomal RNA", at positions 710 to 2925 of the family's 2925-position model. The record is from RNAcentral. Lineage: Bacteria; Pseudomonadati; Pseudomonadota; Gammaproteobacteria; Enterobacterales; Enterobacteriaceae.
UAGACCCGAAACCCGGUGAUCUAGCCAUGGGCAGGUUGAAGGUUGGGUAACACUAACUGGAGGACCGAACCGACUAAUGUUGAAAAAUUAGCGGAUGACUUGUGGCUGGGGGUGAAAGGCCAAUCAAACCGGGAGAUAGCUGGUUCUCCCCGAAAGCUAUUUAGGUAGCGCCUCGUGAAUUCAUCUCCGGGGGUAGAGCACUGUUUCGGCAAGGGGGUCAUCCCGACUUACCAACCCGAUGCAAACUGCGAAUACCGGAGAAUGUUAUCACGGGAGACACACGGCGGGUGCUAACGUCCGUCGUGAAGAGGGAAACAACCCAGACCGCCAGCUAAGGUCCCAAAGUCAUGGUUAAGUGGGAAACGAUGUGGGAAGGCCCAGACAGCCAGGAUGUUGGCUUAGAAGCAGCCAUCAUUUAAAGAAAGCGUAAUAGCUCACUGGUCGAGUCGGCCUGCGCGGAAGAUGUAACGGGGCUAAACCAUGCACCGAAGCUGCGGCAGCGACACUAUGUGUUGUUGGGUAGGGGAGCGUUCUGUAAGCCUGUGAAGGUGGCCUGUGAGGGUUGCUGGAGGUAUCAGAAGUGCGAAUGCUGACAUAAGUAACGAUAAAGCGGGUGAAAAGCCCGCUCGCCGGAAGACCAAGGGUUCCUGUCCAACGUUAAUCGGGGCAGGGUGAGUCGACCCCUAAGGCGAGGCCGAAAGGCGUAGUCGAUGGGAAACAGGUUAAUAUUCCUGUACUUGGUGUUACUGCGAAGGGGGGACGGAGAAGGCUAUGUUGGCCGGGCGACGGUUGUCCCGGUUUAAGCGUGUAGGCUGGUUUUCCAGGCAAAUCCGGAAAAUCAAGGCUGAGGCGUGAUGACGAGGCACUACGGUGCUGAAGCGACAAAUGCCCUGCUUCCAGGAAAAGCCUCUAAGCAUCAGGUAACAUCAAAUCGUACCCCAAACCGACACAGGUGGUCAGGUAGAGAAUACCAAGGCGCUUGAGAGAACUCGGGUGAAGGAACUAGGCAAAAUGGUGCCGUAACUUCGGGAGAAGGCACGCUGAUAUGUAGGUGAAGCGACUUGCUCGUGGAGCUGAAAUCAGUCGAAGAUACCAGCUGGCUGCAACUGUUUAUUAAAAACACAGCACUGUGCAAACACGAAAGUGGACGUAUACGGUGUGACGCCUGCCCGGUGCCGGAAGGUUAAUUGAUGGGGUUAGCGGUAACGCGAAGCUCUUGAUCGAAGCCCCGGUAAACGGCGGCCGUAACUAUAACGGUCCUAAGGUAGCGAAAUUCCUUGUCGGGUAAGUUCCGACCUGCACGAAUGGCGUAAUGAUGGCCAGGCUGUCUCCACCCGAGACUCAGUGAAAUUGAACUCGCUGUGAAGAUGCAGUGUACCCGCGGCAAGACGGAAAGACCCCGUGAACCUUUACUAUAGCUUGACACUGAACAUUGAGCCUUGAUGUGUAGGAUAGGUGGGAGGCUUUGAAGUGUGGACGCCAGUCUGCAUGGAGCCGACCUUGAAAUACCACCCUUUAAUGUUUGAUGUUCUAACGUGGGCCCCUUACCGGGGUUGCGGACAGUGUCUGGUGGGUAGUUUGACUGGGGCGGUCUCCUCCUAAAGAGUAACGGAGGAGCACGAAGGUUGGCUAAUCCUGGUCGGACAUCAGGAGGUUAGUGCAAUGGCAUAAGCCAGCUUGACUGCGAGCGUGACGGCGCGAGCAGGUGCGAAAGCAGGUCAUAGUGAUCCGGUGGUUCUGAAUGGAAGGGCCAUCGCUCAACGGAUAAAAGGUACUCCGGGGAUAACAGGCUGAUACCGCCCAAGAGUUCAUAUCGACGGCGGUGUUUGGCACCUCGAUGUCGGCUCAUCACAUCCUGGGGCUGAAGUAGGUCCCAAGGGUAUGGCUGUUCGCCAUUUAAAGUGGUACGCGAGCUGGGUUUAGAACGUCGUGAGACAGUUCGGUCCCUAUCUGCCGUGGGCGCUGGAGAACUGAGGGGGGCUGCUCCUAGUACGAGAGGACCGGAGUGGACGCAUCACUGGUGUUCGGGUUGUCAUGCCAAUGGCACUGCCCGGUAGCUAAAUGCGGAAGAGAUAAGUGCUGAAAGCAUCUAAGCACGAAACUUGCCCCGAGAUGAGUUCUCCCUGACUCCUUGAGAGUCCUGAAGGAACGUUGAAGACGACGACGUUGAUAGGCCGGGUGUGUAAGCGCAGCGAUGCGUUGAGCUAACCGGUACUAAUGAACCGUGAGGCUUAACCUU